GACGAACGCUGGCGGCGUGCUUAACACAUGCAAGUCGAGCGGUAAGGCCCUUUCGGGGGUACGACGAGCGGCGAACGGGUGAGUAACACGUGGGUGACCUGCCCUCAGCUCUGGGAUAAGCCCGGGAAACUGGGUCUAAUACCGGAUAUGACUCCAUGACGCAUGUUGUGGGGUGAAAGCCUUGUGCGGCUGAGGAUGGGCCCGCGGCCUAUCAGCUUGUUGGUGGGGUGANGGCCUACCAAGGCGACGACGGGUAGCCGGCC
This 263-nucleotide ribosomal RNA is filed under the name uncultured bacterium. RNAcentral's name for it is "partial 16S ribosomal RNA". It matches the Rfam family "Bacterial small subunit ribosomal RNA", at positions 28 to 292 of the family's 1533-position model. The record is from RNAcentral.